UUUUAUGGAGAGUUUGAUCCUGGCUCAGAGUGAACGCUGGCGGCGUGCCUAAUACAUGCAAGUCGAACGAUGAAGCUUCUAGCUUGCUAGAAGUGGAUUAGUGGCGCACGGGUGAGUAAGGUAUAGUUAAUCUGCCCUACACAAGAGGACAACAGUUGGAAACGACUGCUAAUACUCUAUACUCCUGCUUAACACAAGUUGAGUAGGGAAAGUUUUUCGGUGUAGGAUGAGACUAU
RNAcentral lists this ribosomal RNA (236 nucleotides) under Campylobacter coli. RNAcentral's name for it is "partial 16S ribosomal RNA". It matches the Rfam family "Bacterial small subunit ribosomal RNA", at positions 1 to 234 of the family's 1533-position model. Lineage: Bacteria; Pseudomonadati; Campylobacterota; Epsilonproteobacteria; Campylobacterales; Campylobacteraceae. The record is from RNAcentral.